UUAUGUUUUUUAAUUAAAAUUUUUAGUUAUUUUUAUAGUUGAAAAAAAAAAAAAAA
This 56-nucleotide non-coding RNA is filed under the name Mucochytrium quahogii. The record is from RNAcentral. Lineage: Eukaryota; Bigyra; Thraustochytrida; Thraustochytriidae.